Long non-coding RNA from Sapajus apella (tufted capuchin), 97 nucleotides. RefSeq lists it as uncharacterized. Lineage: Eukaryota; Metazoa; Chordata; Mammalia; Primates; Cebidae. The record is from RefSeq and is a predicted model, not a curated record. The transcript has 3 exons.
GAAAUGGUCUGAAAAAAUGUGUGAAGACCAUCAUUCCGCAUUCCACAUUGAAUAACAUCAUGAAGGUUUAAGAUCCUCUUCAAAAGCUUCAAAGGUC